Long non-coding RNA from Gallus gallus (chicken), 2269 nucleotides. RefSeq lists it as uncharacterized. Lineage: Eukaryota; Metazoa; Chordata; Aves; Galliformes; Phasianidae. The record is from RefSeq and is a predicted model, not a curated record. The transcript is spliced from 3 exons.
GUAAAGAUCUUCUUCAGCAGAAGAGUGACAGAGGAGCAGCUUAGGUACCCCCCUCCCAUGACAGCUAUGGAAAGGCUCCCUUUAGGACUGUUCUCUGCAUCUCAGGCAUGGUUAUCUGAGGACAUAACCAGCAAGCAGUCAAGCAAGGAGCUGAACCUUGAGGAAGCCCAUCAAGAUCACAAGUCAUUGUUAAAUAAUAUUUAUUUUGAAAAAGAAAAAAAAGGACCUUAGCAUUGUAAGCUGUAACUGCCUCCUUGGAAAUAGGAGAAAUGCUGAAAUCCAAAGCACAGCAAAGCUGAGGGUUGUAGACUUGCUACCUUCAACUGUUUUUGAAUUAAACUGCCUGGUGAUCCCAAUCAUAAUAUCUACAACCACCGUUCAGGGGAAAAUCAGAACAAAUGAAGUCAGACCAUUUACAGCAAUUCAGAACCCACAUAUGCUCAGACAUUUCCGUUCCAUCUCCACUUUUCUCCAGUGACAACAUUUGGGGUGAUUUCUUAAGAUCUCUACCUACAGCACUGGUACAAGUUCCACAAUGAUGUCAUUGGCACUGAACAGCCAACGGAAAUGAGCAGUUAAUUAUCUUAUAAAAGAAAUUUUGUCUUCAGUAGAGCUGCUUGAUUUAUCCAACAAAAUUGAAAAAAGAGAAAAAAUACAUUCUCAUAUCACUAGGCCGGGGUUGCUAGUACAAGCUAAAGUGAUCAAGGCCAGUAACAUGACUGUCUUUGAAAGUAAACCAAUCCUCAUAAAAGCAUCACUUGUGCAUCUUUUUUUUUUUUUGUGCUCACUUCAGAAAUGAGCAAAAUUCAGAGGGGAAGGAACUAAUAGUAUCUAAUCCUGUGUCCCCCUUUUUUUUCCUUUAUGUUCAUUUUCCAGCAGGGGAAGCAAGCUGACCAAGGGGCUAACAGGAUACAAGUUCCUUGCUCUAAAUUCUGGGAAAGGAGUUAAGUGAGUGAGAUGUCACUACCCUCUUCAUAUUCAACCACUGAGUGCUCUUGGGAUCACCUGUGGUCUGGACCAGUUUGUUUUUCAGUUUGUUUGUUUGCUAUAUUUGAAAAUAUAUGAAUGAGCAAGAAUUUAUUAUAAAGGCCAUACCUCAGGCUUUCUGCUAAAAUGUAAGUCAGCAGAAGACAAAAAGCUGUCUUAUUAUCACUUGUUUAAGACAGUGUAAGAAGUAAAUUGGAUUGUGGAAAAAAAAAACUCACGAAACUAACCUAAAUGGGUACUUUUUCCAUUGACUAUUGUAUUUCAUUGCCUUGUUUUUAAGUAAGUGAGCUCAAAGCAAUAUGUUUCCAGAAAGACCAGUCUGUCAGUACUGAUCAGUGAACACCCUAGGAGGUUCAUCUUUUGGUCACAUGAGAAAACAAACAAUAUCAUUAUGAUAAAGCUUCCUUGUAGGUCAAGGACAUAUAAAAGUACACUGACUAUAUAUUGCUGUAGACUGGUAACAAAAGCAAUCAUAGUAAUGACACAUGCAUUACUACCAAAUGCUGAAGACAAGAUGGAAGAGAUGGCAGGGUGUGUUUGUUGUGUUUCUCUGAAGGGGUAUAAUGAAGAUAACACAGGUUAAAAGGUGUUUCUCAAACUGUAAGAGUCAUACAUCUUUUAAGCAACAGACUAUCAAGUGUGCAACUCUUGAAAUAUGUGAGGAACAAAGCACAGUAUCAAAACUGCCAUUACUGUCCUGCUGCAUCAGCCAACUCGUAAAUCUAACAGCAAGAAGGAAACUAUUGCGAUCAGCUGAGGUCAGUAAGAGCUCCAUCAUUUGUUUAAAGAUGUACCUACCAAGUAGUAGGAGGAAAUUACUAACGCUAUUUGGAUCUAUUCACUAAUAAAAGACAGCAGUACUGAAAAGAAAUGAGGGUUGCACAGAGGACUGUGGAGUUUUAUCACUUCUUGGCAAGAGUUGUAUAUAUAUGUCAUAUAACGUGGUAGUAGCAGCUCAGCUGCCCAUUCUUCCAUUAGAUAAGGGCUAUACUUGCCUCUCUAUUGCACAGCCAGACUGCAUCCUAAAAGACUGCAUCCUAAAUGACUGCUCAGAUAGUUAUUUCUACCUGCUUUAUGGUCAGGGGCAACAAAUUCCCAGUGAUCAUACAAUGCAUGAGAAGUUUCAAAAGCAAUUUUUCUGUAGCACUGUUAAUUCUGUGGUACACAUGGAGCAAAACAUAGAUUAGAUUUCUAACAUGCAAUUUAUAAUAGCAGACAAAUAAUAAUCUUUUAUUUUCAAAGAUUUGAGAGCAAGCCAUACAAGAAUUAAAGGCUGAGCUGU